UCUUUUUCUCUCCUUCUCCCUCUCUUCUGACUCCCUCCUCACUUCAGCCAUAUCCAAUUCCCCACUUCAUUUAUAAUCUAUUUCAGUUUCACCUCUAGCCUCCCCAACACUUCCACAACAUUGUAUUUUUUUAAGCAAUUUCAACUUCUUGGCAAGACUUUAAGAAAGUCUCCCCUCCACCACCAACCAAUCACUUUAUCCCCAAAAUCAAUCACACUUAGCCAUACGUUCUCAAAUCUAAAAAAAGAUCCCUCCAUCUUCCUCUACAUUUCUUUUGAAUAGUAGUAAUGUAUUCUUCAACAUUAAGGAUAUGCUGGAGACCUCCAAAAAUUAUAGUGUGAGAAAUAUAUGAGAAGAAUAUUAUUGAAUUGUUGUUGUUUACAUUAUUACAUUGAGACCCUAUUUAUAGACCCUAGAAUACAAUCCUUUACCAAGUAGGAUACUAUUUAGUAUUCCUAUUUCUAUUUCUAUUCCUAUUCCUGUUCUAAUAGGAUUGUAUAAAUUUAUUCCUAUUUUAAUAGGAUUGUAUAAACCUAUUCCUUUUCUAAUAGGAUUGUAUAAACCUAUUCCUUUUCUAAUAGGAUUGUAUAAACCUAUUCCUUUUCUAAUAGGAUUGUAUAAACCUAUUCCUUUUCUAAUAGGAUUGUAUAAACCUAUUCCUUUUCUAAUAGGAUUGUAUAAACCUAUUCCUUUUCUAAUAGGAUUGUAUAAACCUAUUCCUUUUCUAAUAGGAUUGUAUAAACCUAUUCCUUUUCUAAUAGGAUUGUAUAAACCUAUUCCUUUUCUAAUAGGAUUGUAUAAACCUAUUCCUUUUCUAAUAGGAUUGUAUAAACCUAUUCCUUUUCUAAUAGGAUUGUAUAAACCUAUUCCUUUUCUAAUAGGAUUGUAUAAACCUAUUCCUUUUCUAAUAGGAUUGUAUAAACCUAUUCCUUUUCUAAUAGGAUUGUAUAAACCUAUUCCUUUUCUAAUAGGAUUGUAUAAACCUAUUCCUUUUCUAAUAGGAUUGUAUAAACCUAUUCCUUUUCUAAUAGGAUUGUAUAAACCUAUUCCUUUUCUAAUAGGAUUGUAUAAACCUAUUCCUAUUCUAACACUCCCCCUCAAGCUAGUGCAUACAAUUCAACCCUACUGAAAAAAGAAAAAUUAUAUGGGUAGGGUCGGAAUGAUGGCACAACCCUACGCAAAUCAGAUUUGAGGAGUCACCGAAAAGACGAAUGGAACUAUGCAAAUCAAAUCUGAGUACACAUGAUGCUAUGCAACUCAGCUAUGAGAAAAUAGUUCGGAAAAAUCCACGAUACUACGCAAAUUAAAUAUGAAAAGUAGUCCGAAGAGAUGCACAGUGCUACGCAAAUCAGAUAUGCAAAAAAGGUAGUCACCGAAAGGAUGGCACGGUGCUACAAAAAUUAUAUAUGAAAAAGUAGUCACUGAAAUGAUGGCACAGUGCUACACAAAUUAAAUAUGAAAAAGUAAUCACCGAAAAGAUGGCACGGUGCUACAAGUUAGCUAUAAGAAAGUAGUCACCAGAAUGAUGGCAUGGUGCUUACAUAAAUCAAAUAUGAGAAAAUAGUCACCAGAAAGAUACACGGUGACCCAACUUUUGCUAACAUAAUUGUUGGCCAGACGGGCGGCAUAUAUGAGUAAUAGCCAACCGCCGGCAGCGGAAGCACUUUGAUUGUUUACCAAGAUCGUAGAGGCUCUAAUACCAUGUGAGAAAUAUAGGAAAAGAAUAUUAUUGAAUUGUUGUGAAUUGUUGUUGUUUACAUUAUUACAUUGAGACCCUAUUUAUAGACCCUAGAAUACAAUCCUUUACCAAGUAGGAUACUAUUUAGUAUUCCUAUUUCUAUUUCUAUUUCUAUUCCUGUUCUAAUAGGAUUGUAUAAACUUAUUCCUAUUCUAAUAGGGUUGUAUAAACCUACAAUUUCUCCCUCUACUUCCUCCUCCCCAACAUGCAUCACCCCAUUUUAACAACUCUAUGAAGUUCUUUUGUGUAUUCUCGACUAAUACCCAUAUAAAUUUUUUGUAUUUGAGUCCCCCUCAUUUAACCAUAGCGCCUUCGAUCUUUCUCCAACUCACCUCUUGGACCAAGGCUGAAUUGGCUAACUCCCUUUCCAACCCCUUUUUUCUCUCCUCCCUCUCUUCUAACUCCCUCCUCACUUCAGCCAUAUCUAAUUCCCCACUUCAUUUAUAAUCUAUUUCAGUUUCACCUCUAGCCUCCCCAACACUUCCACAACAUUGUAUUUUUUUAAGCAAUUUCAACUUCUUGGCAAGACUUUAAGGAAAGUCUCCCCUCCACUGCAUAACUCCAUCACCAACCAAUCACUUUAUCCCCAAAAUCAAUCACACUUAGCCACACGUUCUCAAAUCUAAAAAAAGAUCCCUCCAUCUUCCUCUACAUUUCUUUUGAAUAGUGGUAAUGUACUCUUCAACAUUAAGGAUAUGCUGGAGACCUCCAAAAAUUAUAGUAAUCCUAACAAAUCUAUUAACUGUUCAACAUCCUCUACUCAUUCUUCUUUACACCAAAAGUAAAAGGUU
RNAcentral lists this long non-coding RNA (2529 nucleotides) under Solanum tuberosum (potato). RNAcentral's name for it is "long non-coding RNA (STUB_LNC003855)". The record is from RNAcentral. Lineage: Eukaryota; Viridiplantae; Streptophyta; Magnoliopsida; Solanales; Solanaceae.